UGUAGCUGAGAGCUCACGUGUCAGAA
RNAcentral lists this non-coding RNA (26 nucleotides) under Mus musculus (house mouse). The record is from RNAcentral. Lineage: Eukaryota; Metazoa; Chordata; Mammalia; Rodentia; Muridae.